UGAGUCCUACGGGGGGCAGCAGUGGGGAAUAUUGCACAAUGGGGGAAACCCUGAUGCAGCAACGCCGCGUGAGUGAAGAAGUCAUUCGUGAUGUAAAGCUCUAUCAGCAGGGAAGAAAAUGACGGUACCUGAGUAAGAAGCCCCGGCUAACUACGUGCCAGCAGCCGCGGUAAUACGUAGGUGGCAAGCGUUAUCCGGAAUUAUUGGGCGUAAAGAGCGCGCAGGUGGUUAAUUAAGUCUGAUGUGAAAGCCCACGGCUUAACCGUGGAGGGUCAUUGGAAACUGGUUGACUUGAGUGCAGAAGG
This 305-nucleotide ribosomal RNA is filed under the name uncultured bacterium. RNAcentral's name for it is "bacterial SSU rRNA". It matches the Rfam family "Bacterial small subunit ribosomal RNA", at positions 333 to 655 of the family's 1533-position model. The record is from RNAcentral.